UACGUAGGGUGCGAGCGUUAAUCGGAAUUACUGGGCGUAAAGUGUGCGCAGGCGACCAUGCAAGUCGAGUGUGAAAGCCCCGGGCUUAACUUGGGAAUUGCGCUCGAAACUACGUGGCUGGAGUGUGGCAGAGGAAGGUGGAAUUCCACGUGUAGCGGUGAAAUGCGUAGAGAUGUGGAGGAACACCAAUGGCGAAGGCAGCCUUCUGGGCCAACACUGACGCUCAUGCACGAAAGCGUGGGGAGCAAACAGG
Molecule: ribosomal RNA, 253 nt
Filed under: uncultured bacterium
Lineage: Bacteria
Description: partial 16S ribosomal RNA
Rfam family: Bacterial small subunit ribosomal RNA
Source: RNAcentral